RNAcentral lists this long non-coding RNA (3602 nucleotides) under Nicotiana tabacum (common tobacco). Its description in RNAcentral is "long non-coding RNA (NTAB_LNC010759)". The record is from RNAcentral. Lineage: Eukaryota; Viridiplantae; Streptophyta; Magnoliopsida; Solanales; Solanaceae.
GAAAAAUGAGAAAUUGGAGCUUCGAGGCAUGAUGAUGCACAUGGGAAGACCGGCAAGAACAAGAUUUUUGGUAAAUAGUAUUACAAGUAACCUUUUUUAUUUUCUUCAUGUUAAAGAUCAGAUUUCAUUGCGUAUAGAUAAAUUUCAUGCAGUGACGGAGCCAGGAUUUUCAUUAAGGGGAGUCAAAAUAUAAAGAAACAAACUCACCAAGAAGUCAAGGGGUGUCAUUAUAUAGUAUAUAUACAUAUUUUUAAAAAUAUUACCGAGCUAAACAAUAUAAUUUUCCGACGAAGGGGUAUCGGUUGACAUCCCUUGGGUGCAAGUGGCUCCGCCACUGAUUUCAUGAUACUAUAAUUAACGUAAAAGAAUUAAAGUAAACUCUUUUAUAAGUAUUCUCACAUUUUCUAAUUAUUAUAUUAUCCCUCAAAUAUUUUCUUUUAUUCUAUUUAGAUUACUACAACUGAGCAAUAGUAAUGUGAUUAUAUGAAGUUGUCAUGAUUUACUAUUUACAUGGUAACAUCAUAAGUUUGAACUGUUUUGUUACAUAUUUUUUAAAGUCUGUAUUAAUUAUGUGAAAGGAUAAAUAAUUUUGAAGUGUUAGUGGAACAGAAAGAAACAAGAACUCUAAAAGAAUUCGAAUAGACACUUUUUCCUCCAUGCUUAUAUGUGAAACAAAAAAAUUUAUCUUGAAACAAAAGAAGCAAUUUUGAAUGUUUUCUCGGAGAAAUAGGAGAAAAUAAAACUUUCAUAGACAUGAAGAGGGUGAAGGGAUGGGCCAAAGCUUCUAUCUUUUUCAGUAACGUAGAAAAGAGGAAAGAAAAAGGAAGUAGCUAUAGGAAAAGAAAGAAAAAGAAUAAAAAAUGAUAGACGAUACAAGAGAUAGUAUCAUUUUUGCUCGGAUGAGUACCUUAUUAAUUUAGGGGAUGAAUAAUAUCAUUAUUCAAUUGGUAAUAUCAUUAUUUCUUUGUACUUUUUUUACUAAUAAUUCCUUUUUUUAUUAUUUUCUUUGUAAUAUUUUCCUUGUACAUUUUAAUUUUUCUUCAUAUACUUUUGCAUAUUGUAUUUUGUGUGUUUCGAAAAGGUUUUAGAUCAAUAAGCAAUUUCAUAAAAGAAAUGCUUGAAGUAAUCCUACAUUUAUUUUGGUACGAGCUGAGAACACAUAUUAUCUUAUAAUAGAUUGACUUUAUACAUUUCCUUUGUCCCUUCAUAUUUUUUCCAUCGUUUUAUCAUAUAUAAUUAUUAUUUUUUUGGAUUAUUUUAGAAUUUUUUUCACCCAAUCUAUUAUUAUCAUGUAAACUACUACACCAUUUUCAUGAUAGACAGACAUAACACCAAUUUUUCUUUCUCUAUGAUUUUCUACGGGUUUCUUUGAUUUUUCACCGUCAAAAACCAAAAUUCACCGUACAAGAAAAACACACAACGCUUCAAAAACAAUCGUUUUUUUUAUAACAGAUUCUUUACUCUCUCUGUUUCUCUUCUUCCCUCUAUCUAUGUAUUCAUCGUCCUUUGUCUUUCUAUUUUCCUAUUGUCCUUUUUGUUUGCCUUUGCUGAAAUUCCCUAUACUCCUCCCUCUUUUCUCUUCUACACUGCUUUUGCUACACCUUUGUUGAUUUACUUUAAUUCCUUAGCUAAUUUCUAAAUUAUUUCCUCACCGCCGUUUCCAUUUGUGUUUUUCACUUACUUGCACUUUGAUUUUUGAUUAUGCUCUGUCUUUGACUUACUCCUUCGCCAGCGCAGAAGAAUUGGAUAACGACUGCUUAUUUUGACGCCCAUGAAGCGUUCGUAAAUAUGCCCCAUACUUGAUCUUACCCACAGAUUCAGAAAAUGCUGCAAAUUUAAUCAACACUUGCCGGUCUGUAAUCCUUUCAAAGUUAACCUUUACCAACUGCGCCUUCUUUGCAUAUCUUUUCAGCAUUUUAAAUGUUAGACCCUUGAAGUUUAACAAUUCAGUUGAGCACAUGAUUUAUUUUUCUUUUUACGUUGAUAGAUGGUAGUGCAAACGAACAAAAGGCCGUGAAAAGAUUCAGUUUGGCCUUCUCCAUUCGUAUUUGAGGUACGUUCCGAAGAUUCUUAACUAUUAUUAUGCUUUUUGCACAAUUGAUAACCAAAAGUAUGAAGAUUCUAAUAUACAUUACUUUUUCAAAAUUGAUAACUAACGGUGUGCCUGAUAUGGAGUACCCGAAUUUUACUUUACUGAUACUUUAAUGGUUAAAGAGUUCGUCAACGAUGUUGAUUAUAGUCUACUGAUAUGGAGUUUAGACUAUAUUAAAUUUUCAUUGUAGCCUCAUAUAUUGGUAUUCAAACUCAAAGCAUUGCGAAUUAAUUUUUAAAAUAAGAUCUUCUUGAUGUAGACACUGAGACACGUAACUUAAAAGGUUAAAGGAAAAAAAAUUCAAAGUCAGAGAGCAUUGGUGGAGGUUAUAAAAUCAAUAAUACUCCAAAAUAAUCAAGAACCAAACAAAAUCAACAUUUUUCCUAUAAAAUCUACUCUGCUCUACCAAGGUUCUUUCCUUAUUUUGAUUACAACAAUUUAUUUUCCUGUCAAGAACACGCAUUUGAACUAACUUGAAAUCUGUAAGAAAAAAUGCAAUAAAAAACUUCUAAAACUUUUAUAAGAAAUUUAAACCUAAAUGCAUGGGAAAUAUUUUGUAUCUAAGAGAACCUUUUUACUUUGCAGAGAACCAAUAACAUUUCCAAAUGAGUAUUAAGGCUAGAAUAUCGGAUAUGAAGUAAUACAGAUAAUCAUGACAUAAUUUUAUGCGGCAUAAUUGAUUGCUUAAUUGGUCUACUGUAAAUUGAUUGUUAUUUAUCCCUAAUCAGUAGCAAUUUUUUUACCUUCUUAACUCAACUUGAUAAAGAUUUAUCAUAUAUGUGUAUAUAAUAUAUUUAUGGGUGAAGAAAAUUAAGGAGGAAGAAAACUAACUACCCUGCAAUGAAUAUCCAUAUAAAUAGCAAAUUGGAAAACAACUGAAGGAAAAACCAAUGAAGAUUAAGACUCACCAACGGUUGUAGCAGCGAUGAAGGGAUGAGCGAAGGUAGUUAAAAUACUAAAUCGACAUCAAAGAAAUAGUGCUAGAAAUAAGAGAGGAAAAAAAAAGCACAAAAGCCAGAGAAGAAGAUGCUCACAAAAAUGCACAUAUGAGGCGAUAGGGAGAGUUAAGUGCAAUCACUCAUUAUUAACGGUUAGGGAAUAUUUUUUUAUUUUAUUUAAUAGUGAUGACUGAUGACCAUUGAACUUAUUUUUAUGUCUAUAAAUGUUGAUUAUAGUUUACUGAUAUGGAGUUUAAACUAUAUUAGAUUUUCAUUGUAACCUCAGAUAUUAGUACCGGAUAGAUCCUGGUACGUAUUAUUUUCGUUUUAUUAUAUAGAAUUCUUGCUAUAGUAGUAUUAUUAUACCGUUAUCCUCUGUUGUAAAACCCAAAAGCCUCAUUAACUCUGACUGUUUCUUGGUGAUGUUUAAAUGGAUCUUCCGCUCAUCCAUUCUUCUUCUUAAAGUCUGAAUGUGUUUUGUUCAAUCUGUCAUUUUGUUGACAGGUUAGAUUAUCCUCUCGCCCGACUAGGUAUCUGGGACGUGACGUUGCAGCUCUUUAAGAUGUUGCCAU